AAGUCGUAACAAGGUCUCCGUAGGUGAACCUGCGGAGGGAUCAUUACCGAGUGAGGCAGCAAUGCCGACCUCCAACCCUUUUGUUAUCCGACCAUGUUGCCUCGGGGGUGACCCGGACGUCUCGCGGCGUUGGGUGCCCCCGGUGGACCACAACCAAACUCUUGCAUCUCUGCGUCUGAGUAAAUUUUGAAUCAAAUCAAAACUUUCAACAACGGAUCUCUUGGUUCUG
Molecule: unclassified non-coding RNA, 229 nt
Filed under: air metagenome
Description: partial contains small subunit ribosomal RNA, internal transcribed spacer 1, and 5.8S ribosomal RNA
Rfam family: Eukaryotic small subunit ribosomal RNA (bases 1-46)
Source: RNAcentral